UACGGAGGGUGCGAGCGUUGUUCGGAUUUAUUGGGCGUAAAGCGCGUGUAGGCGGUUUAUUAAGUCUGAUGUGAAAGCCCCGGGCUCAACCUGGGAAGUGCAUUGGAUACUGGUAGACUUGAGUACGGGAGAGGAGAGUGGAAUUCCCAGUGUAGGAGUGAAAUCCGUAGAUAUUGGGAGGAACACCGGUGGCGAAGGCGGCUCUCUGGACCGAUACUGACGCUGAGACGCGAAAGCGUGGGUAGCAAACAGG
RNAcentral lists this ribosomal RNA (253 nucleotides) under uncultured bacterium. RNAcentral describes it as "partial 16S ribosomal RNA". It matches the Rfam family "Bacterial small subunit ribosomal RNA", at positions 524 to 776 of the family's 1533-position model. The record is from RNAcentral.